AAUAACAUUGAAAUAAUCAUUGUAUCCCGGAGAAGAAAUCUACCUAUCUAUAUUAUAUGAUAAAUUUAGUAAUUUAAAAAUAUUAUUUAUUCAAUAGUAUAAAUUGUUUUAAUUAUCUCUAUUAAUAAUGAUAUAAAUAAAUAAAUAAAUAAAUUUAUAUAGUUGAAUUUGAUUUAUCGUGUUUAUAUAAUCAUCAUUUAUAUGCAAAUAGUAACUCUGUUCAUUAGAUAAACUAAUAUGGCAUCCUAGUAACCUGCCAAAUGAAUCUCAAAAUCACUAAUUUUAUGUACAAAUAAUUUUUGAAUUAGUGGAUUUUUAAAUUUAAAAUUAAUAUUUUUGGAUUUUAUUUAUCAAAAAUUAUUAGAAAACAUAAAAAAAUUAAAAUUUUUUGGUACUCAAAAUGAGUUUAAUUGAAAAAACUAAAUAUUAUAUAUUUAUUUGUGAUUUGAAUUGAUACAAAGAUAAAAACAUGUUUAUGUUCUUGAAACAAAUUGAAACUAUCUUUUGUAAUUUCUUGCUGCUAGGAAAGUUCUGUUGUGUGUUGAUUAUAUAGUUUGAUAUUAUAUAGUUUCAAUCAAAAACAAAAUUAAAAGUUAUUUUUAGAUUUUACAGUAUAAAAAUAAAAAAAAUGUUUUUUCAAAUUGAAAAUAUUAAUAAUUUAUAUUGAUAAAUAAAUAUUAAAUUUUUUAUAAUCUAAAAUGAGAAAUAUAAAUUUUUAAAUUUUAAUCAAAAACAAUAUGAAAUAUAUAAUUUUAAUUUUUUUUUAAUUUCAUAAUUGUCAAAAACACAAAUAUUUUCAAAUAUAGGAAAAUAUUUUCAUUAUUUAUUAAUGCUAAUUUUUAAAUUUUUAUAUUUUUUUUCAAAAUUAUUUCUUUCUUUUAAUUAAUCCAAUAAUUGCACUUUCUUAGAUUGUUCCAUAUUAUUUUUAAAACUGUUUAAUAUUAUAUUAUAUUAUAUAAUUCAUAUAAUAUUUAAAUAUUUCUUUUCAAAAAUUAUCAAUCAAAUUUAUAAUAUAAUAAUAAAUAUAAUUAUAUAUAAGAAUAUAAAAAAUGAUUCAUAUCAUAUAUUGCUUUUAUAAUUAUUAUUUUAUAUAAAAGAAGCUAUUUAUGUAAUCCAAAUUGUUGCGUAGGAUCAUAUAUUAUCUCGAAUUGCUUUUUUCAAGCAAAAAUUUAAAUUAAAACCUCCAACAUUGAAAAUGUAUUAAAAAUGUUAUCUAAAUAAAAUAGAUAUCAUUAAUAAAUGAAUUUUUAAGAUGAAUUUAAGAUUAUAUUAAAGAAGAAUUAAAAUUUGCAUUAUUAUUUGCAUUUGUUAUUAUUUGGUAUGAUUUGGUAUAUUAUUUGGUAGUUAUACCAAUAAUUUAAUGAAUGAGCAAUUUUGGCUUUUGUAUUUGUGCCUUUUUUUUUUUAUUUAUUUUUAAAUUUAUUUAAAAGAAAAAUUCAUUUUGCUGCAAAUAAAAAAAUUGAAAUAUAUUCUUAUCAAGAAUUGCUGUAUGAUGAUUAACUCUUAUAUAUAUCUUGAAACAUAUAUUCAUUUACUUAUUUUAUAAAAACAUUUGUAAAUAUUUAUACGGAUGCUUUUGUUAAAUAUAUAAUUUUUUUUUAUAUUGAUCUGUAUAUCACUCAUGCAUAAAUGCAUAGAGGGUAAUCUAUAUUAUUAUUAUUAUUAUUAUUAACUUAUUAUAAUAUAUUAUAUUUUUUUAUUAUAAUAUAAUUAUAAUUAUAUUAUUAAUAAUGAUAAAUAUCUUAUGAAAAAAUAUAUAUAAAAAAAUAUUUGUAAUCAUUAAUAAUAUAUUUUUUUAUACAAUGCAUCAAUUCUAUUUUAUAAUGAUUGAAAGAAAAAUGCAUAGUCCAAUGCACGAAAACUAUACAUAACUAUAAAUAAAAAUAUCUUAUUUGCAAACA
Molecule: long non-coding RNA, 1901 nt
Organism: Apis cerana (Asiatic honeybee)
Lineage: Eukaryota; Metazoa; Arthropoda; Insecta; Hymenoptera; Apidae
Source: RefSeq, a predicted model, not a curated record